GUGGGGAAUAUUGGACAAUGGGGGAAACCCUGAUCCAGCAAUGCCGCGUGAGUGAAGAAGGCCUUAGGGUUGUAAAGCUCUUUCGCCCGCGAAGAUAAUGACGGUAGCGGGAGAAGAAGCCCCGGCUAACUCCGUGCCAGCAGCCGCGGUAAUACGGAGGGGGCUAGCGUUGUUCGGAAUUACUGGGCGUAAAGCGUACGUAGGCGGAUGCGCAAGUUGGGGGUGAAAUCCCGGGGCUUAACCUCGGAAUUGCCCUCAAAGCUGCACGUCUUGAGACCGAGAGAGGUAAGGGGAAUUCCUAGUGUAGAGGUGAAAUUCGUAGAUAUUAGGAAGAACACCAGUGGCGAAGGCGCCUUACUGGCUCGGUACUGACGCUGAGGUACGAAAGCGUGGGGAGCAAACA
This 403-nucleotide ribosomal RNA is filed under the name uncultured bacterium. RNAcentral's name for it is "bacterial SSU rRNA". It matches the Rfam family "Bacterial small subunit ribosomal RNA", at positions 354 to 774 of the family's 1533-position model. The record is from RNAcentral.